RNAcentral lists this small RNA (301 nucleotides) under Otolemur garnettii (small-eared galago). RNAcentral's name for it is "Metazoan signal recognition particle RNA (ENSOGAG00000027516.1)". The record is from RNAcentral. Lineage: Eukaryota; Metazoa; Chordata; Mammalia; Primates; Galagidae.
GCUGGGCAUUGUGGCGGGUGCCUGUAGUCCCAGUUACUUGGGAGGCGGAGGCAGGAGACUCGCUUGAGCUCAGGAGUUGGAGGUUGCUGUGAGCUGUGAUUUUAUAGUACUCUACACAGGGUGACAGCUUGAGGCUCUGUCUCAAAAAAAAAGAAGCUGUUUUAUUAUCACUUUGAAGAGUUGAUAGAAAUCCAAACUUAGGAAUAAUUUUUUUUUUUUUGAGACAGGGUCUCAAGUUGUCACCCUUGGUAGAGUGCUAUGGUGUCACAGAUCACAGCACCCCUCAUCUCUUAGGCUUAAG